GAUUUCUGAGCACUCAGUGCUAGACCGGCCGCGGUUUCGCGUGUCAGUGUUUGGUACUGUGCUCAUCCUUUCAAUCACGCUGUCUCACAUCUUCAUUGAUGUGAACAGUGUAUUGAAUCGUUUACUUUGAAAAAAUUAGAGUGUUUCAGGCAGGCUCAAUUGCUAUGAAUACAUUAGCAUGGAAUAAUAAUUUAGGACUUCGGUUCUAUUUUGUUGGUUUCUAGGACUGAAGUAAUGAUUGAUAGGGACAGUUGGGGGUGCUAGUAUUCAGCGGCCAGAGGUGAAAUUCUCGGAUUCGCUGAAGACUAACUUAAGCGAAAGCAUU
Molecule: ribosomal RNA, 325 nt
Filed under: uncultured Sandonidae
Lineage: Eukaryota; Cercozoa; Glissomonadida; Viridiraptoridae
Description: SSU rRNA
Rfam family: Eukaryotic small subunit ribosomal RNA (bases 55-325)
Source: RNAcentral